Octopus sinensis (East Asian common octopus) is the source of this 459-nucleotide long non-coding RNA. RefSeq lists it as uncharacterized. Lineage: Eukaryota; Metazoa; Mollusca; Cephalopoda; Octopoda; Octopodidae. The transcript is spliced from 5 exons. The record is from RefSeq and is a predicted model, not a curated record.
CUGAUGAUACGCCAAGUUCCCUUCUUGAUCUGCUUUGUUGUCCUGAGACCGUCAAUAUUGUGCUCCCAUCAAAAACGAAAUCUUGCGACGAUAAACCUGAUGACACCCCAAAACCCGGUCUCGGAUCAUUGUAUACUCGGUGGGGCAGAACUACUUGUCCUACUAAUUCAAGCCUUGUAUAUGACGGUGUGGCUGGUGGACAAUGGUACGGCGACACAGGUGGCGGAAGUAAUCUCUUAUGUCUACCCAACGAUCCCAUUUGGGCCAAUUAUACGACAGAAGUUGAAGAAGGUGGUCACAUUUUGGCAGUGAAUAUGAACUAACUUUUUACCCAACUAAUAAACUCUUUUCUUUUGCCAACGCUGAAUCAAUUCAUGAUCACAACGUUCCGUGUGCUGUCUGUUUGACACGAAAACCUGCUGUUGUUAUGAUGUUACCCGCCAGGACAAAGUGUUACGC